RNAcentral lists this ribosomal RNA (305 nucleotides) under uncultured bacterium. RNAcentral's name for it is "bacterial SSU rRNA". It matches the Rfam family "Bacterial small subunit ribosomal RNA", at positions 333 to 653 of the family's 1533-position model. The record is from RNAcentral.
UGGAUCCUACGGGAGGCAGCAGUGGGGAAUAUUGGGCAAUGGGCGCAAGCCUGACCCAGCAACGCCGCGUGAAGGAAGAAGGCUUUCGGGUUGUAAACUUCUUUUAAGAGGGAAGAGCAGAAGACGGUACCUCUUGAAUAAGCCACGGCUAACUACGUGCCAGCAGCCGCGGUAAUACGUAGGUGGCAAGCGUUAUCCGGAUUUACUGGGUGUAAAGGGAGCGUAGACGGAAAGGCAAGUCAGAAGUGAAAGCCCAAGGCUCAACCAUGGGACUGCUUUUGACACUGUCAAACUAGAGUACGGGA